This 425-nucleotide ribosomal RNA is filed under the name uncultured prokaryote. RNAcentral's name for it is "bacterial SSU rRNA". It matches the Rfam family "Bacterial small subunit ribosomal RNA", at positions 355 to 796 of the family's 1533-position model. The record is from RNAcentral.
UCAAGAAUCUUCCCCAAUGGACGAAAGUCUGAGGGAGCGACGCCGCGUGCAGGAUGACGGCCUUCGGGUUGUAAACUGCUUUUAUCAGGGACGAACGAUGACGGUACCUGAAGAAUAAGAGGUUGCUAACUCUGUGCCAGCAGCAGCGGUAAUACAGAGACCUCAAGCGUUAUCCGGAUUUAUUGGGCGUAAAGGGUCCGCAGGCGGCUUUGCGCGUCGACGGUUAAAUCUAAAGGCUCAACCUUUAGACCGCCGUUGAUACGGCAAAGCUAGAGCAUGGGAGAGGUAAGCGGAAUUACUGGUGUAGCGGUAAAAUGCGUUAAUAUCAGUAGGAACACCAAAUGCGAAGGCAGCUUACUGGAACAUUGCUGACGCUCAGGGACGAAAGCGUGGGGAGCGAAAGGGAUUAGAUACCCCCGUAGUCC